AACUAAUUAAAUUUGACCUGUUUCAAUUAAUAUAAUUAAUUUAAUUUAUUUAUUCUUACAGUAAAAAUGUCUCUAAAUCCUAAAUUCUAAACCCUAAGGUUGCGUUUGGUUCGGGUAUAAGUAAGAACUGCUAGUUCUAGGGAUAGGUACAAGUUCAGGUAUAAGCAGGAACUAGACCAAUUUUGCGUUUGGAUGAAAAUUGAGUUGUUCCUAGGAAUAAGAUAAAUAGUAUUUGGAUGGUUAGAUUGGAACAAGAGGAAUAAGAGUUAUAAUUUGAAAUUAAAAUUAUAUUAUGUAAUUAAUAGUAAUAAAAAUAUUACUUAAAAAUAAAUAAGAAAUUAAUUAUUAAUAAUUAAUUAUAAAUAAUAAUUAUUAUUCAUAAUUAAUUAUAAAUAAUAAAUUAAUAAUAUGGAUUAUCUAAUUAAUAAUAAUUAUUAUUAUUAUUAAUUAGAUCAUCCAUAUUAUUAAUUUAUUAUUUAUAAUUAAUUAUNCCGCAUAACAUAAUUAUAGGUGACUUUGAAAUAUUUCCUAAAAUAGAAAAUCUAUAUUUGAGCUUGACACGUAGAUUUUCUAUAUAGUAAAAGAUAUUAUUUUCUUAAAAAAUCUAUUUUUUUUUUUCUAAAAUAAAAAAUCUAUAUUUGAGCUUGACACGUGGCAAACAUAUAGAGCGUCACGUGUUAGCUUUUCAUAUAGGUUUCAUUAAGGGUUCUACUUUAGUAUAUAGUAAUAGAAUAUUUUCUAAAAUAGAAAAUUUAUAUUUGAGCUUGACACGUAGAUUUUCUAUAUAGUAAAAGAUAUUAUUUUCUUAAAAAAUUUAAUUUUUUUUUCUAAAAUAAAAAAUCUAUAUUUGAGCUUGACACGUGGCAAACAUAUAGAGCGUCACGUGUCAGCUUUUCAUAUAGCUUUUAUUAAGGGUUCUACUUUAGUAUAUAAUAAUAGAUAGAUUGGAUAUGAUCCAAAUUAGUUAUAAUAGAUUGAUUAGUAUUGUAACUAAUUGGAUAUGAUCCAAAUUAGUUACAACAGAUUGAGUGUGCCUGGCUUGUACGGCUUUAUUAAUUAGUGGAGGCGUACAUAUAGGAGCCGUGGCUUCAUUAGUACGUGACACUCAAAUUUAAUGAAAAAGAAUUCACAUUAUUCUCUCUCAACCUUUCGUCAAAUAUUUCACUAAAGGAAACGUAGAUAUCAGAAGACUGCUAGCACCGUCUUUGUAAUCUGUGACUCAUCUGUUCCGUGCGACGGAAGACGUUGGAUCUAAAUCAAUUUCGUGUGGAUACGCGUAGAGGCCAGGCAUGUGCGCGGCUAAUCGGAAUCUCAGUUUCAACCGUACAGUAGAUCAAGAGACCUUAACCGGUCCGAGGUGAUGUAGCCUGAACUUCAAAUCUGUUUAGAUUAGAUUAUUAUUUUACAUUGUAACAUGAGAAUGAUCCGCCGGCACUGAAUUGAUUUGUUUUUGUUUUGUCUUGAUUCAUAUGCGAUAUGGAUUUUUAUUUUUCGAAAAUACAAUUUAAAUUUCCGCUGUGAUUUUUUGUGCCGGAUAAAUUCUUAGAUAAGUACCCACCAUAGUGAAUAGUCACGAAAAUUUCUUCGCUAAUCUCUCUUAUUUUUUUUCUUGU
This 1613-nucleotide long non-coding RNA is filed under the name Ananas comosus (pineapple). RNAcentral describes it as "long non-coding RNA (ACOM_LNC036447)". The record is from RNAcentral. Lineage: Eukaryota; Viridiplantae; Streptophyta; Magnoliopsida; Poales; Bromeliaceae.